CAGGAACAUCAAAUUGACUUUGACUGUGAAGAAUAAAGCUUAAAUUUAAAUCUGAAUUCAUGUACCAUAGAGAAGGGUGAGGAAAUUUACUGGUUUGAAGAAAUCCAGAGGAUUACUUUGAAGCACUUACUACAGAUCCAGGUCUUCCGCUAGAUGUGGCCAUGAACAAGAGAAUGUUCUAGAGAGAACAG
Molecule: long non-coding RNA, 191 nt
Filed under: Fukomys damarensis (Damara mole-rat)
Lineage: Eukaryota; Metazoa; Chordata; Mammalia; Rodentia; Bathyergidae
Description: lncRNA (ENSFDAG00000026575.1)
Source: RNAcentral